UACGUAGGUGGCAAGCGUUGUCCGGAUUUAUUGGGCGUAAGGGAGCGCAGGCGGUGACUUAAGUCUGAUGUGAAAGCCCACGGCUCAACCGUGGAAGGUCAUUGGAAACUGGGUCACUUGAAUACAGAAGAGGAAAGUGGAAUUCCAUGUGUAGCGGUGAAAUGCGUAGAUAUAUGGAGGAACACCAGUGGCGAAGGCGGCUUCCUGGUCUGUAACUGACACUGAGGCGCGAAAGCGUGGGGAGCAAACAGGAUUAGAUACCCU
Molecule: ribosomal RNA, 264 nt
Filed under: uncultured prokaryote
Description: partial 16S ribosomal RNA
Rfam family: Bacterial small subunit ribosomal RNA
Source: RNAcentral